UACGUAGGGGGCAAGCGUUGUCCGGAAUUACUGGGCGUAAAGCGCGUGUAGGCGGGACGGCGAGUCGGUCGUGAAAGGCUUCGGCUCAACCGGAGAUGGCCGAUCGAAACUGCCGUUCUUGAGGGUCGAAGAGGAGAGUGGAAUUCCACGUGUAGCGGUGAAAUGCGUAGAGAUGUGGAGGAACACCGAUGGCGAAGGCAGCCUUCUGGGCCAACACUGACGCUCAUGCACGAAAGCGUGGGGAGCAAACAGG
This 253-nucleotide ribosomal RNA is filed under the name uncultured bacterium. RNAcentral describes it as "partial 16S ribosomal RNA". It matches the Rfam family "Bacterial small subunit ribosomal RNA", at positions 524 to 776 of the family's 1533-position model. The record is from RNAcentral.